CUAUGGCGGGGGCGGGGCGUGGAGUGUGAGCGCGGGGGGUCCGCGAGGCUGAGGCUGACAGUGAGUGUGAGGGCCAUGGAGCCGCCCGAGCAGGAGAAGCUGCAGCGCCGCCAGCAACAGCAGCAGCAAGAGCUCGAGCUCGAGCUCCAGCGUCAGCACCAGGAGCGGCCGGGAGCCCCGCCCCAUCCCAACUGCCCGCUCGCUCUGGCCGUCCAUUCCUACUGGUUCGACUUGUGGCUCUUUGUGCUCUUCGACCUGGUGCUGUUUGCCAUCGUUUACCUACUGUGACCGCCCGACCCCGACCCCGGAAACCCACGGACCGCCUCCUCCCGACACCGCGCUCGGGGAAAGUUGGUUUCGGCUCCACUCCCCGACUGGCGGUGGUUACCUUGGAAGUGAUGCAUGUCAGAGACUUUUAUCGCUGUGGAUUUCCAUGUUUACAGAUCAACAAAUGGGAACAACUGCACGUUUAUAGAGUGGAGCAUUUGACAGACGUUCCAACAUUCCAAAGUCACGAUGUUUCUGAAUGUCUUGUGAAGACCAGGGUCCUGAUCCCUUCUCUUUACUAACAAACUGUUUCUCUAAGACUGCAAGUGAUUUAUGGUAAUAGCAGGCAAAUUGCCAUAAACAUUAAAUUUCACUCUGCUGAA
Molecule: long non-coding RNA, 650 nt
Organism: Callorhinchus milii (elephant shark)
Lineage: Eukaryota; Metazoa; Chordata; Chondrichthyes; Chimaeriformes; Callorhinchidae
Exons: 2
Source: RefSeq, a predicted model, not a curated record